RNAcentral lists this transfer RNA (70 nucleotides) under Dipodomys ordii (Ord's kangaroo rat). It matches the Rfam family "tRNA". From Rfam's summary of the family: Transfer RNA (tRNA) molecules are approximately 80 nucleotides in length. Their secondary structure includes four short double-helical elements and three loops (D, anti-codon, and T loops). Further hydrogen bonds mediate the characteristic L-shaped molecular structure. tRNAs have two regions of fundamental functional importance: the anti-codon, which is responsible for specific mRNA codon recognition, and the 3' end, to which the tRNAs corresponding amino acid is attached (by aminoacyl-tRNA synthetases). tRNAs cope with the degeneracy of the genetic code in two manners: having more than one tRNA (with a specific anti-codon) for a particular amino acid; and 'wobble' base-pairing, i.e. permitting non-standard base-pairing at the 3rd anti-codon position. The record is from Rfam by way of RNAcentral. Lineage: Eukaryota; Metazoa; Chordata; Mammalia; Rodentia; Heteromyidae.
GGGAAUGUGGCUUAGUGGUAGAGUGCUUGCUUAGCAUGCAUGAAGCCCUGGGUUCGAUUCCUUAGUACCA